UAUGGGACGAGAAGACCCUAUAGAGUUUGACAUUUGGCUUAUUUAUUUAUGUUGUUUGUUUUGUUUUUGGUAAGUGGGCUUUUUGUUUUGUUGGGGUGAUGAGAGGAAUAUAGUUUAACUCCUCUUGGUUUUAGGUUAUAUUGAUUUAUAGUUGUUUGAUCCAUUUAUUUUGAUUGCAAGACUAAAUUACCUUAGGGAUAACAGCGUUAUCUUCCUUGAGAGUUCUUAUCGGCAGGGGGGUUUGCGACCUCGAUGUUGGAUUAAGGUGAAUUUUUGGUGUAGGAGCUGAAAGUUUUAUUGGGUCUGUUCGACCUUUAAAAUCUUACAUGAUCUGAGUUCAAACCGGCGUGAGCCAGGUUGGUUUCUAUCUAUAAGUUGGUUUUAUACCUUAGUACGAGAGGACCAGGUAU
This 410-nucleotide ribosomal RNA is filed under the name Coptotermes testaceus. Its description in RNAcentral is "16S ribosomal RNA". It matches the Rfam family "Bacterial large subunit ribosomal RNA", at positions 2067 to 2699 of the family's 2925-position model. Lineage: Eukaryota; Metazoa; Arthropoda; Insecta; Blattodea; Rhinotermitidae. The record is from RNAcentral.